CUUUUUCUUUUCUUUUUUCUUGAAUCAUUAUCUUUUAUAGUUUACCAUAUCCUUCACGAGACAAUCUAUGUGGGUAGAUAUUUCUUGCUCUAUUCUCAUUCUUUCCCAAAUGGUUUUGCUAAUAAAUGGAUACAUCAGGUAUGGAGUCUGCAUGUUACCAUUUGGGUCUGUAAUAUAAUCACUUGUGAGAUGUUUCUUAAAGUCUCUCCAACGCUUACCAGUAUAUCUAAUCCAUAUUUUCAGCAUAUCAACCUCUAGAAUAAUAAACACUUCCUAUAUUCAAGUAAUAGAGAUGAUAUUAGCAUUAAACAAAAAAACUAAAUGGUCAUCUAUACUUGUAAAAUAAAUUGUAAAAUUUCUAAUAAAGACCAAAAUAUAUGUCCAUAAUUUAUCUUUCAAAUCAUCAUCAACGCCAUGACAAUUAUCUAUCAUAAUAUUGACUUUUCUUCUACCUUAUAAUGACACACAACCCCUAAAAUUACCAGUAUGUUCAUCAUAGGCCUUACCAGUUCUUGGACAAAAAUCAACCAGGAAGCAAACAUC
Molecule: long non-coding RNA, 543 nt
Filed under: Lathyrus oleraceus (garden pea)
Lineage: Eukaryota; Viridiplantae; Streptophyta; Magnoliopsida; Fabales; Fabaceae
Description: Pisum sativum (pea) long non-coding RNA (PSAT_LNC040112)
Source: RNAcentral